CCUCUCCAUGGUACGCGGGGAGAGGUUACCCGAGCAACUUUGCAUCUGGACGACGAAUGUUGCUCGGUGAACCCCUUUUCGGUAUCAAAAUCCAUCAGAGAGGCCAUCUGGGAG
Bison bison bison is the source of this 114-nucleotide microRNA precursor. NCBI's taxonomy places the organism in Eukaryota, Metazoa, Chordata, Mammalia, Artiodactyla, Bovidae. The record is from Ensembl.